GUGCAGCAGUGAGAAACCUCCGCAAUGCGGGAAACCGCGACGGGGGGACCCCGAGUGCCGUGGCAACGCCACGGCUUUUCCGGAGUGUAAAAAGACUCCGGGAAUAAGGGCUGGGCAAGGCCGGUGGCAGCCGCCGCGGUAAUACCGGCGGCCCGAGUGGUGGCCGCUAUUAUUGGGCCUAAAGCGUCCGUAGCCGGGCCCGUAAGUCCCUGGCGAAAUCCCACGGCUCAACCGUGGGGCUUGCUGGGGAUACUGCGGGUCUUGGGACCGGGAGAGGCGGGGGG
Molecule: ribosomal RNA, 284 nt
Filed under: uncultured microorganism
Description: partial 16S ribosomal RNA
Rfam family: Archaeal small subunit ribosomal RNA
Source: RNAcentral